UCUGUGCCCAUUCCCACAGAGACAUACACAACAUGAAUAAUGGCAGCACAGUAGUAUGUACCUGGGUCACUUGAAAUUCUAAAAACUCUUUUGCUAUAUGCCUACGCUGCAGUUCUUACGUGUGAUUAUUGUCACAAGUCAUGUUGUAUAUGCUAUUAGUUGUCAGUAUAUAAAUAGGUGAUAUUUAUUAAACUUAUUGUUAGUGUUUCUAAAAACUUAUAGAACUGACCUUGAAUAAAUACUUUUGAGCUGGGUGCAGUGAUACACACCUGUAAUCUCCAUGACUAGGAACAUCAUUGGCAGGAGGAUCAUCAAGCCAGCCCCAGACAUGGCCAGGUGUAGUGGUGCAGGCCUCUAAAUCCCAGGGGUUCCAGUCGCUUGAGGUAGGAGGAACAUGAAUUCAAAGCCAGCCUCAACACCAGUAAGGCAUAAAUUACAAAAUAGGGCUGGUGAUGCGCCUCAAUGGACAUGUUCCCCUGAGUUCAAUCCCCAGUUCCCACAAAUAAAUAAAUUAAUAUAAUGUACAAAGGCCCUGGGAUGUGGCUCAGAGGUUAAGCUCCUUGAGUUUAAUUCCUUUACCAAAAUAACUAAAGAAACGUUUACGGGUUUGCAUUUUAUAUUUCAUUGAAUAUUUUUGCUGGGAGGUGGGAGUGCAUGGUUUGUUGAGUCUUUAAUGCAACAAUUCAGUGUUAUUCAAACUACUAUGCAUAAAGUUAAGCAAGGCAAUUUCUCUUUUUGUCUGGCAUCCCUCAGGCUUUUUUUUUUUUUAAUGUUGAUACAGGGUCUCACUUUGUUGCUUAGUACUUCACUAAGUAGCUGAGGCUGUCUUUGAACUUGUGAUCUCCUGCCUUAGCCUCCUGAGUAUCUGGGAUUACAGGCAUGUGUCACUGUGAUAGGUCAAUUGAACACAAUUCAAUAACCAUUUCUCAAUGUAAGUAAUGAAAUGAGAUUGAAUUCAACAAGAAAGUUGAAUAGGAAGAAUAUCAAAUAUAUAAUUAUUUUUGCAAUAUAAUAAUUUACUUAUAGAAUUCAAUUCGAUUAUACCUGGACAGCUUACAGACAACUGAUUAAUUGGUAGAAUUAAACCAAGUUGAUUGUCUUGAUAGAAAAUAUCAAAAUUAAUAUGCCAGCAACAGCUAAUUGAAAGUAAAAAGGGUACUGCAGAUUUCUUUCAUAUUUGCCUCAAAAAGAAGGUAAUAAUAGGGGCUGGGGUUGUGGCUCAGCGGUAUGGCACUCGCCUACCAUGUAGGAGGCCCUGGGUUCCUCGGCACCAUUUAAAAAUACAAAAUAAAAAUAACUACAACUGAAAAAUAAACUUAAAAAAAAAAAGAAGGUAAUAAUAUGUAAGAUGAAGAUGUACAGCUUGUAUUUCCCACUUAUUUUACUCCUAACAGGUAUGUACUUUAACCCGAGAAGAUAACCGCACCCUGGGUGUUAUUCCUGAGGAUGAGCAGCUCCAUGUCCUGCCUUUGUAUAAACUUGCCGACACUGAUGAGUUUGGGUCCAGAGAAGGGAUGGAAGCCAAGGUCAAAUCUGGAGCCAUUCAGUUCCUUCAACCAACUUGCAAAAAAAGAACACGUUUUACUCAGCCUGUUCCUCGAUCUGGGAAGAAGAGGGCAGCAAUGAUGACCGAAGUUCUUGAGCGCAAGAUUAGGGUAGUGGAGAAGAAACAAAUGCCUCGAGUCAAGCAGAAGAAUAACUCUGCCCUGGCAAAGAACAGUAAAACUUCAUUGGUGCCGCUCCCAGGUGAGCUCUGUGGGACCAAAUUUUCUUAUGUGUACAAACUUCUUUGACACAGGGUUGGCAAUUUCUCUUUCACCAUAUUUUUCCUGUCCUUUAUCUUACUUCCUUCUUAGGUCAAAGGCAUUCUGAGAAGACAGACUUAAAAGGAUAAUUUACUAGAUUUUACUGAGUCUCAUCUUCAUUAUUAUACUUUGUUUAGAGUUAAGUCUUAGAUUCCGAAUAUAUUUCUACAUGGGUAUUCAAACUGAAAAUUAACAAAAACGUGGCCUAUCUCUGCUUUGGGGGGUCGUUUUUGUUUGUUUAUUUUUUAAUACUGGGGAUUAAAUCCAGGCACACUUAACCACUGAUCCCCAUACCCAGCCCUAUUUUGUAUUUUGUUUAGAGGACAGGGUCUCACUGAGUUGCUUAGUGCCUGCUGUUGCUGAGGCUAGCUUUGAACUCAAGGUCCUCCUGUCUCAGCCUCACUUGCCAUUCACAUUAUAUGUGUGGGCCACUGUGCCCAGCUAUUUUACAUCUUGAGAAAGUGUCUAAGUUGCUUAGGGUCUUGUCAAGUUGCUGAAGUCUUCAAACUUGUGAUCUUCCUACUUCAGCCUUCCACGUUACUGGGAUUAGAGGCCUGCACCAGUGCACGAGGCUCCUAGAUUGUUUUGAGCAUACUGAAGAAAUCACACAUUAUCCAUUUUCAUCAGUAUGUAUCACUAAAUGUUAGAAUCUUGCUUCAGCCUCUUAGUAUUUGUAGUCAGUUAUUCAUCAUCAUUCCCAUUAAGGAUUUUUGUUACUACCAUACAAUAACAACAAACAAGAAAGAAAACAAAUGUGAAAAAAGCCAGUGAUACCAUAAUUCUAUUAUUCAGAUUAUUGAAUCAGUAUGAACUCAGUGGUAGAAUCCUUUCCUAACAUUUUGAGGCCCUGCAUUAGAUCCUCAGUACCACACAAAAAGUCACACAUUUUAUUUAAUUAAUAAUAUGUCAGGCCUCUCAUUUUAAGCUUGCUGUCCCUCUCGGUUUUUCCGCUUUCUUCCUUUCUUUAUGGAGCAGAAGAAACUAUUGUUUAGAGUUAAGUCUAAUUGAUUGUUUGUGGUAUUGGGAUUGAAUCCAGGUCAGGGCUUCACUCAUGAUAGGCAAUUAAUUGCUAUUCUACACUAUAGACUGCACUAUGUCCCCAGUCAUUCUUCUCUGAAAAGUGUGCCUAAUAAGUGUCUUCCAUUGUGGUCAGUUUUUUAAAAUUUAAUCUCACAAAUUUUUUGACCAUUUAUUUUCGAUGCACAUUAGGUCAACUCACACACAAAUUGUGUGUGUGUGUGUGUGUUUGUGUUACCAGGUAUCAAACACAUUUUUUUUUUUUUUUUGGUGUAGAUGGA
RNAcentral lists this long non-coding RNA (3103 nucleotides) under Marmota monax (woodchuck). The record is from RNAcentral. Lineage: Eukaryota; Metazoa; Chordata; Mammalia; Rodentia; Sciuridae.